CACGUAGUUGGCCGUCCCUUUCUGGUAAGAUACCGUCACAGUGUGAACUUUCCACUCUCACACUCGUUCUUCUCUUACAACAGAGCUUUACGAUCCGAAAACCUUCUUCACUCACGCGGCGUUGCUCGGUCAGACUUCCGUCCAUUGCCGAAGAUUCCCUACUGCUGCCUCCCGUAGGAGUCUGGGCCGUGUCUCAGUCCCAGUGUGGCCGAUCACCCUCUCAGGUCGGCUAUGUAUCGUCGCCUUGGUGAGCCGUUACCCCACCAACUAGCUAAUACAACGCAGGUCCAUCUGGUAGUGAUGCAAUUGCACCUUUUAAGCAAAUGUCAUGCAACAUCUACUGUUAUGCGGUAUUAGCUAUCGUUUCCAAUAGUUACUCCCCCGCUACCAGGCAGGUUACCUACGCGUUACUCACCCGUUCGCAACUCAUCCAGAGAAGCAAGCUCCUCCUUCAGCGUUUCUACUUGCAUGUAUUAGGCACGCCGCCAGCGUUCGUCCG
This 499-nucleotide ribosomal RNA is filed under the name uncultured Streptococcus sp. Its description in RNAcentral is "partial 16S ribosomal RNA". The record is from RNAcentral. Lineage: Bacteria; Bacillati; Bacillota; Bacilli; Lactobacillales; Streptococcaceae.